AUCCUUUUGUAGUUCGUAAGUGUAAUGACUGGGUUUUCAUGUUCCUCUGUGAGGUAUACCUCCCUCAAAUCUUGUUACAACAUCAGCACAUGACCCAUCUGAUG
Small nucleolar RNA from Sapajus apella (tufted capuchin), 104 nucleotides. RefSeq annotates it as small nucleolar RNA U13. The record is from RefSeq and is a predicted model, not a curated record. NCBI's taxonomy places the organism in Eukaryota, Metazoa, Chordata, Mammalia, Primates, Cebidae. The transcript has a single exon.